GUUAGGGUAAACUAUACAAGGUUGUCGGGUUCAUACCCCGAAUGAAGAGGUAGCCUCUCCCUAGCU
This 66-nucleotide transfer RNA is filed under the name Solecurtus divaricatus (divaricate short razor). RNAcentral describes it as "tRNA-Met". Lineage: Eukaryota; Metazoa; Mollusca; Bivalvia; Cardiida; Solecurtidae. The record is from RNAcentral.